CUACCACCUGAACCACAGCCACCCAUUAUUUAAUGUUAUGUUAGGUUAUGUGAAUGAAAGUGCAACGUUUUACUCUCAGGUCAAGAAUGAAUUGAAUUUCAUUCUUACUGUUAGAAGGCCCCUCCUCCCAAUUUUCCCGAAUGAGGUCUAGGACGCUUCUUCUGCCCGUACAAUAAUUCCAAUGAAGAAAACCCCCAUGGAGGCUUGCAAGACUUCUCACACUGCAAAUAACAGUCACUCUAGCCACUGUCAAACAGGCCUCUGUUUUCAAAUAGUUUGUGGGGAGUUUCUUGCCUGUGUCAGUCUAAACUAUACUGUUUCUUUCUCUUUUUUUCGUCAAUAAUUAUGAUAAGAAUCAUUUUCAUUUGUUGUAGUUUCACUUUCUCUUCUACCAUAUUUUGUUUUUUUUUUUGUCUAUAGACAGCAAGCAGAGACCACCCACAUCAAAUCCAUCUAAAUAAUAUAAUAUAAUAAAUAAUAAUAUCAACUAAUCUUCAACUAAGAUUCAUUAAACACUCAACAUGGCAAACAUUCAGCUUGUUCUGUGUGCCGAGUACAGGAUGUUUACUCAUUCUUCCUCCGGCGUUAUUAAUAGCUUUAUUUAUGUGUGGCAGUGAUUUACGUAACUAUGCUAUUGGCACUGUCCGGGGUGUGGCUUCGGCAGACCAAUGAGGUGGGAACCACACUGUUAUUUAAGGACCCUUAUUUUGAGAGGCGCGUAUGUGUCUUGGUGAUUCAGGGUUCCUCGCUCCCUGGUGCUUCAGUUUCAGUGUCCGUUGAGGUAUGUUGAGGCUUUGCUCAUGGUGUAAUGAGGUGAACAUCUCAAUGAUAAUAUGUUUAUUUAUAGUUUUAGAGCAGAGCUACUGGCGUUAUCCAGUGUCUGAAUGAUGGCUGGUAUACUGAGCCGGUGAGUAAUCAUACAACUUCACAUCUGGUGUUUGUUCAACCCUGUGGAGCCAUUGAGUCUUGGUGUGGGACAGGGGAGGCUAGCUGCCUUCAUUCAGUGGUGUGCUCAGUGCACCAACACAACAAAUUCCUUAUGGUGUAGGUAGUGUUUGAUAAUUUGAUGUGAAUUAAGGUGGGUGUGGAUGACCGCCCAAGCUGCAGUAGGCCUGCCUUGUUCCUGUCAAGCCUGGGCCUGGAGAAGUGCUAGUUUUAAAAUUCUUAUUGUGCUUCAUGGGAGGGAGAACUUAUCGUAUAUAUAUAUAAGUUUUAAUGAUGCUGACGUUAUAAUAAAAAGUAACUUUUUAUAUUGAUA
This is a long non-coding RNA of Ictalurus furcatus (blue catfish), 1258 nucleotides long. RefSeq lists it as uncharacterized. The record is from RefSeq and is a predicted model, not a curated record. The transcript is spliced from 2 exons. Lineage: Eukaryota; Metazoa; Chordata; Actinopteri; Siluriformes; Ictaluridae.